This 276-nucleotide ribosomal RNA is filed under the name Clostridioides difficile. Its description in RNAcentral is "partial 23S ribosomal RNA". It matches the Rfam family "Bacterial large subunit ribosomal RNA", at positions 2476 to 2751 of the family's 2925-position model. Lineage: Bacteria; Bacillati; Bacillota; Clostridia; Peptostreptococcales; Peptostreptococcaceae. The record is from RNAcentral.
AACAGGCUUAUCUCCCCCAAGAGUCCACAUCGACGGGGCGGUUUGGCACCUCGAUGUCGGCUCAUCACAUCCUGGGGCUGUAGUAGGUCCCAAGGGUUGGGCUGUUCGCCCAUUAAAGUGGUACGCGGGCUGGGUUCAGAACGUCGUGCGACAGUUCGGUCCCUAUCCGUCGCAGGCGUAGGCAAUUUGAGAAGACCUGUCCUUAGUACGAGAGGACCGGGAUGGACGUACCUCUGGUGUACCAGUUGUCCUGCCAAGGGCAUGGCUGGGUAGCUA